This 274-nucleotide ribosomal RNA is filed under the name uncultured bacterium. Its description in RNAcentral is "partial 16S ribosomal RNA". It matches the Rfam family "Bacterial small subunit ribosomal RNA", at positions 334 to 604 of the family's 1533-position model. The record is from RNAcentral.
UUUUCCUACGGGACGCAGCAGUGAGGAAUAUUGGUCAAUGGGCUUACGCCUGAACCAGCCAAGUCGCGUGAGGGAAGACUGCCCUAUGGGUUGUAAACCUCUUUUGUCAGGGAGCAACGCCGGCUACGUGUAGCCGGACUGAGAGUACCUGAAGAAAAAGCAUCGGCUAACUCCGUACCAGCAGCCGUGGUAAUACGGAGGAUGCGAGCGUUAUCCGGAUUUAUUGGGUUUAAAGGGUGCGUAGGUGGAAUGCCAAGUCAGCGGUAAAAUCGCG